AGAGUACGUGAAACCGUUUAGGGGUAAACCUGAGAAACCCGAAAAGUCGAAGGGAGAAAUUCACCGCGGUUCGACGAAGGUGACGGUUCGGCGAGUGACUGCGCUCUUUUUGCAGCGCGGCGCCGUCGUUCCGUGCGUUAUCGACGACGAACGCGUGCACUUUUCUCCCGGUAGGACGUCGCGAUCCGUUGGGCGUCGGUCUACGGCUGACGGUGGAGACCGCGAGUCGUUCUUCGGAACGUACGCGCGGACCCGUUUGCACCCCGACCGACUCGCUCGACGGUAUACGAACGGUUAGGGGCCGCUUUUAGAGCGUCCGACUCGUGUGGCCUUCGGGACGCGCGAUGUUCUCGGACAGACCUCUCACGAUAAAAACCGAUCUGCGACGCUAUAGCUUUGGGUACUUUCAGG
This 411-nucleotide ribosomal RNA is filed under the name Scolytus schevyrewi. RNAcentral describes it as "partial 28S large subunit ribosomal RNA". Lineage: Eukaryota; Metazoa; Arthropoda; Insecta; Coleoptera; Curculionidae. The record is from RNAcentral.